Molecule: non-coding RNA, 986 nt
Organism: Lepisosteus oculatus (spotted gar)
Lineage: Eukaryota; Metazoa; Chordata; Actinopteri; Semionotiformes; Lepisosteidae
Source: RefSeq, a predicted model, not a curated record
AAGCCCCCCCGAGUCGUGGCCCGGCAGCGUGGACAGCCUUCCUCCCCGGGCGCAGGGGCCCUGACUCACCCUCGCCGCGCCACUGCGACCAGCUCUGACCCCUCCUCUGACAGUCCCGUGUUCACCGGAACACCGUCACCGAAAGUAGAGAGAGAGGGUCACAGCAGAGGCUGUCUUAAUAAAGUGCCGGUGUUCCAGCAGAAAGGGAUUUCCGGAUCCUCUCCCGGGUGCUGAUGGAUCAAGUUGGAAUAACAGGGCACUGCAAGGCAGGGCUUUGAAAACAAUCAGAUGUGCACAGAUCAAGCACAGCUGAUAGUGCAGCACAGUGGACUCCAGUGGAGCUGGCAUGGCUACAGAUCAGCUGUGCGUGACAAGCUGAAACAGAGCCCACUAAUGGUGGAGAAAAUGUUGGAAAAGAUCUCAAAAGCCAUGCCUCCUGUUUUAGACAAGAAAAUCAAUAUUAGAUCUCUUGUUUCACAUCUCAUAAACGUUCAAUAACCAUACCGUUUAAGAGGGAGUGAUCUAAAGUUGAAGCAGUCACAUUGUAGCACUUGGGCAGCCCGACAGCUAUUUAUGUAUCUUUCAAAGUAUCCACUUUGUGUAGUAACAAAAUCAGAGAACUAACAAAAAUGAUAGUGAUGGCUGAAUUGACCUGCUUUCCAUUGUUCCUCAGGUUUAUAAAGCAUGUAAAUACCUGGGCUUGGUGCAGACUGGCAACAUGAAAACAAAACCUCUGUCACGUGGUUAGCAUGGCUGUUUCGGUGACUGGAAUGAGGGUUUUCACUUAAGGUAUUGCACCAAGGAAUCACUGUCAAGGGUAUAUAAAAGUAUAUAAGUGAAGCACUUCUUUUUCAAGAAACAGGUUGCUGAAGCCUGCAGUAAAUUAAGAAAUUAGAUAUUUAAACCCUUUUCUAUCUAAUUAAUAUCAAGAGCUUUCUUGCACGCUGUCCAAGGAGUAAACACUUAAUUAAAAGCAGCUCUUAAUU